Long non-coding RNA from Esox lucius (northern pike), 843 nucleotides. RefSeq lists it as uncharacterized. The record is from RefSeq and is a predicted model, not a curated record. Lineage: Eukaryota; Metazoa; Chordata; Actinopteri; Esociformes; Esocidae. The transcript has 3 exons.
GCCAGGUAGGCCGGGGUGCCCACCACGGAACGCCUGAACGACUUCUCGCCGAUGAUACGGGCGAAGCCAAAGUCACACAGUUUGACCUGCCGGGGCACACAAACAAGGAAGCCUUCUACUACACACUUUAUACACACACACACACUUUGUACACACACCAGCAAUCAUUGGCUAGACAGACGGUACACCUGUAUGACAGGUUCGUGGUUGCUGGUUGAUACCUGAGGAAAGGACUCAGCUGAGGCCAACAGCACGUUCUCGGGCUUCAGGUCACAAUGGACGAUGUUCUUGAAAUGCAGAUGUCUCAAAGCCACCAGGAUCUGUACAGAACAUAGCCCAAAGCCUGUGGGUUAGUUCGAUAUAACCUCAUUAACAACCCAUCCUGUUUGCAGGAUGUGAUUUCGCAUUCAGUGCUUUUUUUUCUUUUCAUUACAGGUUAAGACUGUGCUGUAGGCUUAAGACAGAAACGUUAGAAGGGUGGUUGGUCAGGGAGGAUGGAAGGGUGUCCAAUCAAUGACCUCUAUUAUCCCUGGACUGCUUACGCUUUGUCCAAGCCCUCAUUGAUACUCCUCCUUUCAGGGCUUUGAGCAAUUGGAGUGAGUUGGGCAAAAAUGACACCCCCAAGACAGCCUUUUUCACAAACAAUGCAACAAAAUGGGGCAUAUGAAUUCAGCAUCAAUUCAAGAUAUCCAGACUCAUCAGACCAGGCAACAUUCUUCCAGUCUUCAACUGUCCAAUUUUGCAGGACAGAACCAGGACUGACCCAAGACGGAACCAGGACCGACCCAGAAAUGACCCAGGACGGAACCAGGACCGACCCAGGACGGAACCAGGACCGACCCA